CUGUGUCAAUGAUGCACUUUUACCUACAUUGUUCGAUGAUCCUUGAGAGAAACUUUGAUACUGAGACACUG
This is a small nucleolar RNA of Accipiter nisus (Eurasian sparrowhawk), 71 nucleotides long. Its record names the gene SNORD34. It matches the Rfam family "Small nucleolar RNA SNORD34". Rfam says of the family: snoRNA U34 is found in intron 5 of the ribosomal protein L13a gene in humans. U34 is a member of the C/D class of snoRNA which contain C (UGAUGA) and D (CUGA) box motifs, and functions in directing site-specific 2'-O-methylation of 25S rRNAs. The record is from Ensembl. NCBI's taxonomy places the organism in Eukaryota, Metazoa, Chordata, Aves, Accipitriformes, Accipitridae.